GUAGGGAAUAUUGGGCAAUGGAGGCAACUCUGACCCAGCCAUGCCGCGUGCAGGAUGACGGCCCUCUGGGUUGUAAACUGCUUUUAUACGGGAAGAAAAAAUACUACGUGUAGUAUACUGACGGUACCGUAAGAAUAAGGAUCGACUAACUCCGUGCCAGCAGCAGCGGUAAUACGGAGGAUCCAAGCGUUGUCCGGAUUUAUUGGGUUUAAAGGGUGCGUAGGCGGAUCUUUAAGUCAGUGGUGAAAGCCUGCAGCUUAACUGUAGAAUUGCCAUUGAAACUGAAGAUCUUGAAUGUGGUUAAAGUAGGCGGAAUGUAUCAUGUAGCGGUGAAAUGCUUAGAUAUGAUACAGAACACCGAUAGCGAAGGCAGCUUGCUGAACCAUUAUUGACGCUGAGGCACGAAAGCGUGGGGAGCGAACAGGAUUAGAAACCCGUGUAGUCC
Molecule: ribosomal RNA, 445 nt
Filed under: uncultured bacterium
Lineage: Bacteria
Description: bacterial SSU rRNA
Rfam family: Bacterial small subunit ribosomal RNA
Source: RNAcentral